AACGAACGCUGGCGGCAUGCCUAACACAUGCAAGUCGAACGAGAUCUUCGGGUCUAGUGGCGCACGGGUGCGUAACGCGUGGGAAUCUGCCCUUUGGCUCGGAAUAACAGUUGGAAACGACUGCUAAUACCGGAUGAUGACGAAAGUCCAAAGAUUUAUCGCCAGAGGAUGAGCCCGCGUAGGAUUAGCUAGUUGGUGUGGUAAAGGUGCACCAAGGCGACGAUCCUUAGCUGGUCUGAGAGGAUGAUCAGCCACACUGGGACUGAGACACGGCCCAGACUCCUACGGGAGGCAGCAGUGGGGAAUAUUGGACAAUGGGCGAAAGCCUGAUCAAGCAAUGCCGCGUGAGUGAUGAAGGCCUUAGGGUUGUAAAGCUCUUUUACCCGGGAUGAUAAUGACAGUACCGGGAGAAUAAGCUCCGGCUAACUCCGUGCCAGCCGCCGCCGUAA
This 449-nucleotide ribosomal RNA is filed under the name uncultured bacterium. Its description in RNAcentral is "partial 16S ribosomal RNA". It matches the Rfam family "Bacterial small subunit ribosomal RNA", at positions 29 to 523 of the family's 1533-position model. The record is from RNAcentral.